Non-coding RNA from Camelina sativa (false flax), 5347 nucleotides. Lineage: Eukaryota; Viridiplantae; Streptophyta; Magnoliopsida; Brassicales; Brassicaceae. The record is from RefSeq and is a predicted model, not a curated record.
AAUUGAUUAAACACUAUACAAUUGAAUAGCGGGAAUUAAAAUUAAUAGCUCCGCCUGAAAAUUAAGAUUGGGGGUAAAUUUUUGCGAAAUCUAAAAAUUGGGAAAUUUUUUGCCUCACUCUCGUCUCUUUGGUCACUUAGCGUCUCUUGCUCACAGGUAAAGAGAGAGACAAACAAUUUUCUAACUUUCAUUCGACUCUCACUAAAUCUCUCCUAUUCUUCUCACUCUCCCUAGUCCUUAGUCGCAAUAUUCUUGUAAUGAUUCUCUUCUCUCUCAAGAAGUCCGGUUUGUGUCGUCCUUCUUACAGAUCCAAUUCCACCAUCUCUCUCUCUGAUCUACUUUUUUUCCAGAUCUCAUCACCAUUCAGUCUCUAUCGCCGAACCAAUUGAAGAAGAUAUCGCAAGAGACGAUUCGCUAGGGAUCUCCUUCGUCAUGCCAUCUUCAUAUGCGUAAAUCCAUCACUGUCCUUGGUCUGUCGCUGUUUCCACAUCUUAGUCGGUGAGUUUGUUCCUAAUUCUUAGGGUUCACCGAUUUGUGUAUGUCAUUCAUAUAUUAUUAUGAUUUUGUUAAUCCUUCGUGUUGGGGUUUUUCCUAAUUUAAUGUAAGGAUGGUUUUGGGAAAUCCUUUUCGGCGAGGCUUUUCGAUGGUGGAAGGGAGGAACGGUAUGGUGAGAAUUGAACAUCAGAUCGUGAAGACGGUUGCAUAUAUAGUUGAGGUGAAGUCAGAUUCGAGAUUGGGACUACUUUUUGUGACUGAAUUUUUAGUCGCAAACUUUUGUGACCGUUUGGUGACAUAUUUGCGACGUACUCACGACGAAGAAUAUUCUGGACGUAAAUGAGUCGCAAAUUUACGACACCCAAAUACAGUUGCAACACCGUUGCUAUUAUGCGACUGAUUUGAAACAAUUUAUCGACAAUAAAGAGUUAGUCGCAAAAUAAUCGCAAUUGAUGACGAAUUAAAGACUGAUGAUUUAGUCGGCAACACGCGUCGCAAAUAUGUCUUAAAAGCACGACGUAUUUGCCACUUAUAUUUUGCUUUAACAUUGAUAGUUACAAAUCAGUCGGUAAAUGAUGUCGGUAACAAACGUGGUAAAUGUGGAAGUUUUGCAUUUGUACUGAACAUUUGCGACCUUUAUUUUGUCUCUAUUAUGUUGUUACAGAGUGGUAAAGUAGUCGUAGUUUACGACUCUUUUAUUUGUAGUCGCAAAUGCAACGCAAAGAAGUUGGUCAGUGAUGUCGGUAAAUAACGUGGUAAAUGUUGAAGUUUGCUUUUGUACUGAAUUUUUGUGACCUUUAUUUUGCCUCUAUGUGGUUAACGAGUGACAAAAGAGUCGUAAUUUGUGACCGUUUCACUGGUAGUUGCAAAGGAGUUGCAAAGUUUAUACUAUAUAUAACAUAUCACUCUCACCAUUCCAUUCAUAUCACUCUCAUUAGUGUGUAAGUAGAAAGAGGAAAGAAAAAAAAGUCAGAAAAAAAAAAGAAGAGUGAUUUUUUUAGAGGAGAAGAAAAAAAAAAGAAAAAAGAGUUUUUGUUGUAGAGGGAAAGAAAAAAAAAGUGAUUUUUAAAAAAGAGUGGUGAAAAAACUACGUGGAAUUCAACUCGAGAGUGGAUGUAUAAUCGGAUCGACGGAAGAACAAAUAAUAUCUCUAAAACUUUUUUGGCAGGGGUGGAGCAGUUCAUAAAUUUCGCAAACAGCCAGCCUUUAGCACAAAACAGUAGAGGUAGGUUUUAUUGUCCUUGCGUAAAAUGUCAGAAUGAUGUUAUUUUGCAUGGUACGACAAUAUCUAAUCUUUUGUAUAGUAAAGGAUUUAUGUCAAAUUAUUAUGUAUGGUCUGAACAUGGAGAAGAUUAUAAUGUGCUAGGGGUAGGAACCAGUAAUCAUUAUCCUAAUACAGGUUAUACUAGUACUGGUAGUCAUCAUGGUAGUCAACCAAUAGGAUUUGAGGGAAAUGUAUAUGCUGAGAUGGUGAAUGAUGCAUUCAUGGUACCACACCUUUUAAUGAGUAUCAUGAAUAUGAAAGUGGAUAUGAUCAUAUUCAAGAAGAACCUACUCAAGAGGCGAAACGGUUCUACGACAUGUUAGAUGCUGCAAAUACUCCACUUUAUGAUGGAUGUCAUGAAGGUCAUUCGCAACUAUCGUUGGCGUCUAGGUUCAUGAACAUCAAGGUAGACUAUAAUUUGUCUGAGGCAUCCAUGGACGAUUGGGCUGAAUUGUUUACGGAGGUUUUACCAGAGGGUAAUCAAGCUACUGGUUCAUACUACAAGACAGAGACUUUAGUGCGAAAGAUAGGAUUGCCAUACCGUACAAUUGAUGUAUGUAUAGAGAAUUGUAUGCUCUUCUGAAAAGAAGAUGGGAAUUUGGAUCAUUGCAAGUUCUGUAGAAAACCAAGGUACAAAACUAGUGAGGGAAGAACUAGAAUACCCUUCAUUUGUAUGUGGUAUCUACCUAUUGCUGAUAGAUUGAAGAGGAUGUACCAAUCAGAGAAGACCGCAUCAUCAAUGAGAUGGCAUGCUGAGCAUGAUUCAGAAGAUGGAGUAAUGUGUCAUCCAUCUAAUGCGCCAGAAUGGAAGAAUUUCCAACAUUUACAUCCCACAUUUGCAAAAGAAAAGCAAAACGUUUACCUUGGGUUAUGUACAGAUGGUUUUAAUCCGUUUGGGAUGUCCAAAAAUCAUUCUUUGUGGCCUGUGAUCUUAACUCCAUACAACCUACCUCCAGAUACGUGCAUGAACAGCGAGUAUUUAUUUCUUACGAUUCUGAACUCCGGACCAAACCACCCACGAGCCAACCUUGAUGUUUUCCUCCAACUAUUAAUCGAUGAGUUAAAGGAGUUAUGGUAUAAUGGGGUUGAGGCUUAUGAUAUCUCACUAAAUGAAAAUUUCAACAUGAAAGUUGUUCUUAUGUGGACAAUAAGCGAUUUUCCAGCGUACGAUAUGUUGUCGGGAUGGACUACACAUGGAAGAUUAGCAUGUCCAAUUUGUAUGGAUGACACUGGUGCUUUUCAAUUACCAUCUGGGAGGAAAACAUGUUGGUUUGACUGUCAUAGGAGAUUUCUUCCUACAAGUCAUCCGGUGCGGAAGAAUAAAAAGGACUUUUUGAAGGGAAAACAUUCAUUGAAUGACUAUCCACCUGCAUCUCUAACUAGUCAAGCUAUAUAUGAGCGUAUAAGGAAAGCCAAAGCACCUAAAACAUCUGUCUGCGGUGGGAAUGGUCACGAAAAGAAAGUUAAAGGCUACGGAAGAUGGCAUAAUUGGCAUAAAGAAAGCAUAUUGUGGCAGUUACUGUACUGGGUCGAUCUGAAUUUAAGGCACAACCUGGAUUUGAUGCACAUCGAGAAAAAUGUCUUUGAUAACUUGAUGUACACUGCUAUGAAUAUAAAAGACAGAUCGAAAGACAACGUGAAGUCAAGAUUAGAUAUUGCAAGAUUUUGUUGCCGGCAAGAUUUACAUCUGGAUGCUCAAGGGAGAGCCCCAUUUCCUAUUUGGAGAUUGAAAACCAAAGCGAAAGAGGCUUUAUUAAAAUGGGUAAAAGAAGAUGUUAGAUUCCCAAACGACAACACGUCAACAAUGCCUCCAGUCACAUGAGAGAUUGUUGGAGGCGCAAAUUCGAUAUGAAUAUCCAGGACUAUCUGAUGAAGAUGUGAGGUUGAAAAGAGAUGAAGAUUUCCAUGACUGGAUUAAGCAAUAUAUCACACUUUUCUAUUGUGAAUGGUAUGACCCUACAAUUAACAAAGGCACUCGAAUACGUGAUGGAGGCAUUGUUGACGUGUUGUCGUCAAGGAGAUACCAACAUUAUGAACCAUUUAUAUUAGGUUCUCAAGCUGAUCAAGUUUGUUAUUUUUCAUAUCCUCACACUAAACGACCUCGAAAACUUUGGCUCAACGUUGUGAAAGUUAAUCCAAGGCAUGCUGUACAAGGAAAUUUAAAAGAAAAGGAGGUUGUUAUAUUGCAGCAAACAGUUGAUGAUGGAAUGACAUAUACAAUAGAGGAGAUCAUAAUUGAUAAUUUCGUAGAUGGUAAUCAUCCUAAUGAAGAAAUUGAUUUUGAAAUCAACGACGCUGAUCUAGAAGACAAAUUUUGUGGUAACUACUCGUCGUCGUCUUCAGAUGAGGAUGAACACAAUGAAAAUGAAAAUGAGGAGGCUACGCCCUUACACAUACGAGAGAGAUAUUUAGAUCCUUUGCGCGGAAAUACAACUGGGAUGUUGCGAUUACUGAGCUUGUGAGAGAAGGAUUUUUGAAGAUAGCGAAAAAAGAAUGAAAUGAAUUGUAAGCCAAGCAAAGACGCAUGCUGAGCCACCGAUUUGGAUCAAUCCUACGCUUUGGAGACAAAUGUGAGAGCAUUGGGACACACCCGAAGCUAAGGAGAAGAGCUCUAAUGCAUCCCAAGCCCGUACUUCUGAUCGUGGCGGUCUUGGACUCCACAAACAUCUAUCCGGCCAGAAAUCUUACUUGCAGAUUCAACAAGAGAUGGAAGAAAAAUUGGGACGUCCUGUCUCGCUUGGAGAGGUGUUUGUCGCAACACAUACGAAGGCAGAUGGAAGUUUUGUUGAUCAGAAGGCCAAACAAGUUGUUGAGACAUAUGAGAAGAACAUAGAAGAGGUAAUGUCUCAAAUGGAUUUUGAUGGUACAGACCACUCCUCGCCGGAAUCUACUUAUGCAACCAUUCAACAAAAAGAUGACAUUUUCUUAAAGUGGAGUGUAACAGAUGCCAAGGGAACCCCCUUUGGACUUGGAAGUUUCUUGGAGAUAAUCACCAAAGGGAAGAGAAAGGCUACUUAUCCAAGCACUAGUCCAACUUCGCUGUUAGAGAUUCAAGAACAACUCCAGGUUGCUCGUCGUAAGCUCGCUGAUCAAGAUGAAGAAAAUGCUCGACGUGUCAGAGAAGAUGCUAGACGUGAUGAGGAGCAACGUAACGCUCAAAACCGCACUGCAACCUUGGAGAUGCUCGUAUCCUACUUGAAGACCAGUGAUCCCGGGCUUGCAGAAUUCUUGUUUACUCAACCACCAGCCCAUGCGCCAUUCACCUCAGCAGCACCAGCAGUCAACAUCACUCCAGCCACAUCGGCCAAUGUCAACCAACCCACACCAACAACUUCAGGAGCUAGCUCACCAUCUACUUCACCAAUCACUUCACCAGCGACUUCACCAACCACUUCACCUUUGUCAGUAUCAUCCUCUCAUGCUUAACUAACUAAUUAUAUCUCUCUUAAGCCUAUAUAACUAUUUUUUGGAUUGUGCAGUAGUAUUUCUAUCUCCCUUAGCCUAAAACUAUUUUCUGGAUAUGAUCAUUGAAUGAUUUGUAUGUUUUUGGUUAAUAUCAUUCACAUUCGGGAUUUUAAUUUAGAUUCA